CCCUUAGAUGUUCUGGGCAGCACGCGCGCUACAAUGGUCUUCGCAAACGGAUGGAUUCUCGAAGGAGAAUGCCAAUCUUGGAAUCUAUGCCUUGGUCGGGACAGUUGCUUGCAAUUUUUCGACUCGAACCAGGAAUUCCUUGUAAUCGUGAUUCAUCACAUCACGAUGAAUACGUCCCUGCCCUUUGUACACACCGCCCGUCGCUCCUACCGAUCGAAGAGUUAGGUGAAUUGUUUUGAUCGAUAAGAUUUGACUAUGGUCAACUCUCGUUGUGAAAUUCUGUGAAUCUGACUGUUUAGAGGAAGGAAAAGUCGUAACA
RNAcentral lists this ribosomal RNA (319 nucleotides) under uncultured eukaryote. RNAcentral describes it as "partial 18S ribosomal RNA". It matches the Rfam family "Eukaryotic small subunit ribosomal RNA", at positions 1470 to 1796 of the family's 1831-position model. The record is from RNAcentral.